Molecule: ribosomal RNA, 253 nt
Filed under: uncultured bacterium
Lineage: Bacteria
Description: partial 16S ribosomal RNA
Rfam family: Bacterial small subunit ribosomal RNA
Source: RNAcentral
UACGAAGGGGGCUAGCGUUGUUCGGAUUUACUGGGCGUAAAGCGUGCGUAGACGGUUAUUUAAGUCAGGUGUGAAAGCCCCGGGCUCAACCUGGGAAUUGCAUUUGAGACUGAAUAGCUAGGGUGCGGAAGAGGGAAGCGGAAUUUCCGGUGUAGCGGUGAAAUGCGUAGAUAUCGGAAGGAACACCAGUGGCGAAAGCGGCUUCCUGGUCCAGCACCGACGUUCAGGCACGAAAGCGUGGGGAGCAAACAGG